Molecule: ribosomal RNA, 888 nt
Filed under: Hexostoma thynni
Lineage: Eukaryota; Metazoa; Platyhelminthes; Monogenea; Diclybothriidea; Hexostomatidae
Description: 16S ribosomal RNA
Rfam family: Bacterial large subunit ribosomal RNA (bases 538-888)
Source: RNAcentral
CUUGAAAGAAGGAGAUACGCCUUUUUAUUGUUUAGCUCUAUAGCUAUUGUUGUGUAAACAUGGUAAAAUGUAAAGGCUGUUGUGACAAAUAAAUCAUCCCUUUUAAUAACCAGUUAAAAAUUUUAAUAUUUCGUAUUACUCCAAAGGUUAAGAGAUCCUAGGAGAGACCAGAAUUAUUAGUGCUUACCAGUUGCUAGUAGGAUGAAAAUUUUCCCUAUGUUUGGAUUUGUUACAAGACAUUUGAAGGAUAUCUAAAUAUUUGGGGCAAACAAUUUUUAUAGACAAUAAAAGUUAAUUUUAAAAUUAUUGUAUAAGUAAUACUAAUAUGCUUUUUUUUUCUUGUUACUACUCAGACUGUUUAUCAAAAACAUUGCCUCUAGAAGUUACUAGAGGUAUGACCUGCUCAGUGUGUUUUAUAAAUAGCCGCAUUAUCUUGAGUGUGCUAAGGUAGCAUAAUUAAUAGCUCUUUAAUUGGGAGAUUGUUUGAAUGGUUUAACUAGGGUUGUCGUUAGAUAAGGCAUAAUGUUGAAGUUAUAUGUGCUAGUACAGAUACUAGCAUAAUAAAUCGGGACGGGAAGACCCUAGGAGGUUUGUGCGUUAAGCACUUAUUUGGGGCAAAGCGUUGUUUUUCACAAGAGUUAUGAACCACUGUGGUGAAAUUGAUUAAAGCUACCCUAGGGAUAACAGAGUAAGAAGUAAAGAGAGGUCAUAUCGAUUUACUUAAUUGCUACCUCGAUGUUGACUUAAGAGAAAGUUGUUUGAUGCAGAAGUUACACAAACAGGUCUGUUCGACCUUUAAAUUCUUUCAUGAGUUGAGUUAAGACCGAUGUAAAUCAGGUUGGUUCCUAUCUGAUGAAUUUUCUUUAUUAGUACGAAAGGAUUAUAAAG